Molecule: ribosomal RNA, 474 nt
Filed under: uncultured bacterium
Lineage: Bacteria
Description: bacterial SSU rRNA
Rfam family: Bacterial small subunit ribosomal RNA
Source: RNAcentral
GACGAACGCUGGCGGCGUGCCUAACACAUGCAAGUCGAACGGAGUUUAGCUUAGUAGUUUACUACAGAGCUAAACUUAGUGGCGGACGGGUGAGUAACACGUGGGCAACCUACCCUAAAGAGGGGGAUAACACCGAGAAAUCGGUGCUAAUACCGCAUAAAAUUAAAGCUUUGCAUGAAGCUUUAAUCAAAGGAGCAAUCCGCUUUAGGAUGGGCCCGCGCCUGAUUAGCUAGUUGGUGAGGUAAUGGCUCACCAAGGCGACGAUCAGUAGCCGAUCUGAGAGGAUGACCGGCCACACUGGAACUGAGACACGGUCCAGACUCCUACGGGAGGCAGCAGUGGGGAAUAUUGCACAAUGGGGGGAACCCUGAUGCAGCGACGCCGCGUGGAGGAAGAAGGUCUUCGGAUUGUAAACUCCUGUCAUUCGGGACGAUAAUGACGGUACCGAAUGAGGAAGCCACGGCUAACUACGUG